Long non-coding RNA from Astyanax mexicanus (Mexican tetra), 1462 nucleotides. RefSeq lists it as uncharacterized. Lineage: Eukaryota; Metazoa; Chordata; Actinopteri; Characiformes; Acestrorhamphidae. The transcript is spliced from 4 exons. The record is from RefSeq and is a predicted model, not a curated record.
GGGAACAGUGUCUCUGGUGUCCAUCUGAAGCUCCCAAACGAUGGGGUCUCAUCGUUCCAGGUCUGGAGGAAAAAAACCUGUCCCACAUGAUGGAAGAAAACGUCUAGAGCACAGAUUUGAGCCUAGACAAAUGAGAGGAGCCACCACUAACUCCAGUGAGGACAGUGCUAGAAGUGAGGGAAUAAAACUUCCAGUGUUCACUGAUGAAGAAUUAAAAUUUCAUACAAGCUCUAGAGAAACACCGCCUGACUUUUAGAACUGCAGGAGAAGAUCCAGAGCACAACUGUGAGGAGCAGGUGCUGAACCUUUGGAACCUCUUUGCUUCAGUACUGGAAGAACUGAAGCAAAAAAAAGGGAAUUCUUUCACUUUCAUGUACAAUUUUCAUGUAGUGGUAGCAGAACAAAUAAAAAAAACAUAACAGAAAACAGAGAAUCUGCUAACAGAUUUCUGUAUAGCGACUUAUUUCCUAAAGGUAUGAAUUAGGAUUUUAUGAUAAAACAGUUUCUUUAGGGAAUUUGGAGAAUUUUUUUCCUCUGUUUGUAUUUUUGAACAAAAGUAUUUUUUUUUAUAUAAAAUUGAUAAUUAACUGUGUUAAUGAAUUUUAAAAGGACUUUAAAGACGUUUUAGGUGGAAGUGGAUCUUCUGUGAAAUUGAGCCUUCAGCCUCUCAUUGGCUGAUUAUUAUGUGGCCUUCAGUACUUGGAGUGUCCUCAUUGGUUGUUUUGUAAUCGAGUGUGUUUUUAAAACUGGAAUGUUAUUAACUCUUGUCGUUUAACCCUGAUGAAGGCCUGAGUGCCGAAACACGUUGAUUUUUACUUUUUUUACCAGAAUUUUUUUAUCGACAAGUGCUGCCGUUUAUUUUUACUAUAUUUGUAUAGCGACUUUGCCACAACAUUAUCACUGUUUAACUUGAUUUUAAAUUAAAUUUGAAAUGAAAUAACAUUUGGUGACCUGAGCACGGCUUAAGUGUCAAGACUUUGGACUUAAUUGUUAUUUGCUAAUUAGUGAAUUGUUUCCACCACUGGUGUGUAGAUUUAUGAAAUGUUAUUCUGAAUAUAAUAAACUCAAUCACUGGUAUGAUUAUCCAGAGAGCUAAAGGACUAUGUUUAAUCAGUGUUCAUCUUUUUGUCAGUGAUGCAUUAAAACAACGUUAAUCUACAUUUAAAAUUUUACUGUUUUCACCAGCAAUGUACCUGUAAUACCUACCUGUAAUUCUUAUCUUAAUUAUAUGUAUGUAUUCAAGAAUGGUAAUAUUCUGGGGGAAGGCUCGGGUGGGAGGCUAUAGGGCCCACAGUUUAUUCUGGUGGGGGUUUUAGUCUCAAAUAUUUAUCUGAUAUUUAUAUUUAUAUUUUAUUACUGAUGUUAGUCUGGUGUUUUUUCUUUUAAUUUCUUUUAAAUUUCCUUUAUUUAAUCUUUUUGUAUUUUUUUACUGUGUAUAAAUAAAUAUUAGCGUUUGAAAAGA